This is a non-coding RNA of Hordeum vulgare subsp. vulgare (domesticated barley), 135 nucleotides long. Lineage: Eukaryota; Viridiplantae; Streptophyta; Magnoliopsida; Poales; Poaceae. The record is from Rfam.
CUUAUACUCCCUCCGUCCGGAAAUACUUAUCAAAGAAAUGGAUGAAAACGGAUGUAUCCAAAACUAAAGUAAGUCUAGAUAAGUCCACUUUUAUCCAUUUAUGCGACAAGUAAUUCCAGACUGAGAGAGUACAUA